GAAGUCGCCAGUCUCGGCUUCUCUCCGCUGUGUCUCUAAUCAUCGCUCAAACGCCGUCGCUCCUCCCCUCUUCGGCUUACUUCUGUCGCAGGUGACUUUCGCCAGGGAUUCUUUCCUUGUGAGGCGAAAGUCACCUGUGACAGACAGGAAUCGAAGAAUUGAAGAGCCAAGGCGUUGUUGAGCGGAUUUCUACUCAAUUCUCAAUUAAAUUUCAUUUAUGGUGAUAGGUCUUUUUUCGCUGAUUAUGAUUACCAUGCCAAGCUGCUAUUGCUAGAUGCGAUCUAGAGUUCUUGUAUCAGCUAGAAGACUGAGAUUGGCUUGCUAUAUGAGAGUGUUGUUUGGUGGAUUCUCAGUACCAAGCCAAGCCAUUGUUGCUGAUGGAGGUCUAGAUGUCUUUUAUUAGCUGGAUAAUAAAUUAUAUUAAAUUCUUUUACCUUGCAAGGAUCCUAAGAUUUUUAAUUAGGCCGUGUAUCCGAAGAGCAGAUGAUGCUGGCUUAAUUUGUUUCAUUUGUUUACUUAACCAAGCAAGCGUUUGUGUCUCAAAAAUCAUUAAUUGAUUCAAGAGUUAUCAAACUUCAGUUGACAAUUUUGGUAGGCUUGGAGAAAGUGACAGGCAAUAGUUAUGCAAUGAUAACAGUAUGGGGUAAAGGUUUGUGCCUCAGUUUUCUUUUAUUUUAUGGCUGUAAUGUUGAAAGAAAUUGAUCACAAAAAAUAGAUUGCAGAGUUGGGGAGUAGCAGUGGAGUCAGCUUCCUGUGAAUUGUGUAGAGGUACUGAUGAAACUAUGGAACAUUUGUUUUUCAGUUGAAUUGUUUCCUCUGUAGUUUGGAACAAAGUGCUGCUGCUCUGUUUAACCUGUAGGAGUUGUUUGCUUAGUCUGCAGAGCUGGAAUGGAUAUGUGAUCUCUAGAAGACUAAUUCCUUUAUUGAUCAGGUAAAGUGGUUGGCUUUCUCUGCCAUGCUAUAUCACCCAUGGAGAGCAAGAAACCAAGGCUAUCUUUCAAAGAAUCCCUGUAUUCACUGUUAGUGUAGUUGCCGCUGUGGUUGCAUCAGUUAGAGAUACAGUUGGAGGUUGGAAGAAGUUUCCUUGUACUAAGCCAAAUUGGGAUUUGGCUUGAAAGUUAGGACUGCCAUUUCAGUGCUUUAAAUGAAAGGGUCCUCUGUAAUAAAAUAGUGUUUCUGAAUUGAUGUAUUUGGAAUAUUGUAUUCCUUGGCUGCACUACUGGCUACUUUAUUGUUGAUCAGUGAAGAGGGUUCAUGUUGCUAAAGAAAAGAAAAAAUGAAGAGAGUCUCAGGUUGUGAGGAACUUUAGUAAUAUGUUUCUGUUUGUAAUUAAUUUAGUUAAUUGUUCUGCAUUUAGAUCAAUUUUUGUUCCACAUAAUCUUAGCAUGUAGUUGGUCAUCUCAUGCUACUUGCAUUUUACAUUAUUUCACAAAGGAUAUUGCAGAAGGGCUUUGGAGAUGAUCGUAUGACUGCCUCUUUUGGGGAUCUGAUAAGAAUUAUUCAAGCUGCAUUUUCUUGAUUUUCAGGUCUGACAAAUAAUAUUGAUGCUUUGCCUUGCAUAGCCUCAUGGACUGCAGGUGAACUUCUCUCACAGAUGUUAGUUAUUGGAACUUAAAGCACCAGAUGGAGCUUCUAUGGCCUUUGGCAGAUCUGGCUUUUUUGUCGACAUCUUUUUGGACUUCUAGAUCUAAUUCAUUUUAAGUCCAAGGUGUUUGUUACUAUGCACUCCUUGUUGUAGACAGGAUUGGUGUAUCAGAUUAAAGAUACCUCUUUGUAACAAAGUUUGGUUUGUAAACUGCACUUGCAAGUAUGCGUUCUCUAGAGUUUUGGACAACUAGUGUUAGAUUGAGUGCGAUUUUCUUUUGUUGUAUAGCUUAUUGUUUGGAGCCCAUGCUAUAUAGCUUAUCACAGUGCUGAAGAGGUUCAAUUUUUUUGUAAUUUAUAUUGACACUUCACAUAGCUCUUUACAUGAAAUCCAGUAUGCAUUUUGGGUGAGAUUUAGA
Coffea arabica (coffee) is the source of this 2003-nucleotide non-coding RNA. The record is from RefSeq and is a predicted model, not a curated record. NCBI's taxonomy places the organism in Eukaryota, Viridiplantae, Streptophyta, Magnoliopsida, Gentianales, Rubiaceae.